Molecule: ribosomal RNA, 443 nt
Filed under: uncultured bacterium
Lineage: Bacteria
Description: partial 16S ribosomal RNA
Rfam family: Bacterial small subunit ribosomal RNA
Source: RNAcentral
CCUACGGGUGGCAGCAGUGGGGAAUAUUGGGCAAUGGGCGCAAGCCUGACCCAGCAACGCCGCGUGAAGGAAGAAGGCUUUCGGGUUGUAAACUUCUUUUCUCAGGGACGAAGCAAGUGACGGUACCUGAGGAAUAAGCCACGGCUAACUACGUGCCAGCAGCCGCGGUAAUCCGUAGGUGGCAAGCGUUAUCCGGAUGUACUGGGUGUAAAGGGCGUGUAGGCGGGAAAGCAAGUCAGAGGUGAAAACCAUGGGCUCAACCUGUGGCCUGCAUUUGAAACUGUUUUUAUUGAGUACUGGAGAGGCAGACGGAAUUCCUAGUGUAGCGGUGAAAUGCGUAGAGAUUAGGAGGAACACCAGUGGCGAAGGCGGUCUGCUGGACAGCAACUGACGCUGAGGCGCGAAAGCGUGGGGAGCAAACAGGAUUAGAUACCCCAGUAGUC